RNAcentral lists this ribosomal RNA (300 nucleotides) under uncultured microorganism. RNAcentral's name for it is "bacterial SSU rRNA". It matches the Rfam family "Archaeal small subunit ribosomal RNA", at positions 330 to 628 of the family's 1478-position model. The record is from RNAcentral.
GCGCAGCAGGCGCGAAUACUUUACAAUGCGGGAAACCGUGAUAAGGGAACCUCGAGUGCUGGCGCAUAGCGUCGGCUGUCCAGAUGCCUAAAAAGCAUCUGAUAGCAAGGGCCGGGCAGGACCGGUGCCAGCCGCCGCGGUAACACCGGCGGCUCGAGUGGUGGCCACGUUUAUUGGGUCUAAAGCGUCCGUAGCCGGCUCGGCAAGUCCCCUGGGAAAUCUGGCGGCUCAACCGUCAGGCGUCCAGAGGAUACUGCUGGGCUUGGGGACCCGGGAGAGGUGAGAGGUACCUCAGGGGUA